Molecule: long non-coding RNA, 1502 nt
Organism: Gopherus flavomarginatus (Mexican gopher tortoise)
Lineage: Eukaryota; Metazoa; Chordata; Testudines; Testudinidae
Exons: 2
Source: RefSeq, a predicted model, not a curated record
AGUUAUACAGGUCCUUCCAAGGGUUAGUAAGGGUGCUGUUGGUGCUAUUAUUAAGCAUAAAUGCAAUUACUCAUCUAAAUAAAAAAAAUGCAAUAAGACAGUUAAAGAUUGCCAUGAGAUUUUGGUCAACCCCCCUUGCGUUCAAGGUUUCCUGGUCAACGGGUUUCCCCUAGCAGGAGCCUUGGGGCGGCUGGGAUCGGCUUUUGUCUCCGGCUUACAACACGAUUACAGGCUCAGUUAGCUAGCAGAGAUAACAAAAUUAGCAGCUAGGCAUACUCACACACAAACCACAAAAGUUUCAUCAUCACCGGCAGACGGGUAGGCUUCUGAGAACACGUAGCUGAGGGAGACUUCGAGUUGAUCAGGCUCGGUUACAGGUACAGCUUUUUGCGUUUUCUCCCUGCCCACUGCUUGCACGGUGGGCAAUUUAUAAGGGUAAUGACAUGUUCAGUUUUUUGGCCAGGUUUCUCCUAAUUAGGAGAUUUACAGGUGCCUUGUUACCACCCUCAGGGAGGGGGGGAGUUUCCUGGAAAUGGCUUACCACAAAAUUUGCCUAGCCCCAAUGGUAACUUUCGGAAAUGUUUCUCGCUUGAGAGUACGUGCAUGCUCGUUUCCUGAACAUGGAGGCCAGGGCAAAAGCUGCUUAGGUCUGUGACACUAGCAAACUCCACCAGAUAAGUUGCCGCCUUCUGCCUUUUGCAGCUCAUCCUUCUUUGGGGUCAGUCCUAUGAUCUUUUCUAUCAACUCCUUUCCUUUUGAGUCAUAGGAGUGUGCAUCCCUCCAGCCAGGAAUGUUCAUGAGUUCCAAGUUGGGGAGAGAGGUUUGAUCCCAGCAAGGUACACUGAGGCAAAAACUACCUGUGCCUUCCAUCCACUAGAAGUGUACAUGGCGUUAGCUGCUCAAGUUAGUCAUCUUAAUGUAAAAAGUUGUGGUGCAGAUGCAGCCCAGGUGCAGUGGUUGGCAUUCGCUUUCCCCUUGAUCUGACCUAAACUCCAUCACUUUUCCUAGUCUAAACUAACCCUGAGCAUCACGGUUAUCCUGUUCCCCAAUUUCAAAGCAAUUCUUUGUCAUUGAGUUCUCCCUUGGGGAACAAAUUGUUUCAUUCUCAGUUGUUCUGAUGUUGCUUCAGGUUGUGCUGGAGAGCAGAUAUUUUCAUUAUUAUUUUCCGCACUUAAAAUAUAUUGAACUAUAAGAAAGAUCAGGAAGAGGGCAGGGAUAGGGAAAAAAGUCAUUUCAUCCUCUAUAACAACAGACAUAGUUAGGGUAAGUCAGAAAGAGUCCCUUAUUCCCCAUCACUGUCCUCCUUCAAUCCGUGCUAAAACCUAAGAAUCCUUUUCCUUUCCCCAUUUGUGGGUUGAGAGACUUCCAAAAGUGCUCCCUGUGCUAUAGCACAUGGCUAAGCUCAGAGAAUAACCCCAAAUCUCCCCUGAGCUUUGCUUUUUGAAUUCUGUAUUUCCGAUUGCUUCAAGCCUGGGCAUUGUGAUUAUUAACCAGUUUCUCUA